CCUACGGGUGGCAGCAGUGAGGAAUAUUGGUCAAUGGACGCAAGUCUGAACCAGCCAUGCCGCGUGCAGGCUGACGGCUCUAUGAGUUGUACACUGCUUUUGUACGAGGGUAAACCCCGAUACGUGUAUCGGGUUGAAAGUAUCGUACGAAUAAGGAUCGGCUAACUCCGUGCAAGCCGCCGCGGUAAUACGGAGGAUCCUAGCGUUAUCCGUAUUUAUUGGGUUUAAAGGGUUCGUAUGCGGUUUGAUAAGUGAGAGGUGAAAUUUCGGGGCUCAACCCCGAAACUGCCUCUACUAAUGUUGGACUAGAGAAUAGUUGCGGUAGGCGGAAUGUAUGGUGUAGCGGUGAAAUGCGUAGAGAUCAUACAGAACACCGAUUGCGAAGGCAGCUUACCAAACUAUAUCUGACGUUGAGGCACGAAAGCGUGGGUAGCAAACAGGAUUAGAUACCCGAGUAGUC
This 460-nucleotide ribosomal RNA is filed under the name uncultured bacterium. RNAcentral's name for it is "partial 16S ribosomal RNA". It matches the Rfam family "Bacterial small subunit ribosomal RNA", at positions 338 to 795 of the family's 1533-position model. The record is from RNAcentral.